UAGUCCACGCCGUAAACGAUGAUUACUGGUUGUGCGCGAUACACAGUGCGCGACUGAGGGAAACCAUUAAGUAAUCCACCUGGGGAGUACGUUCGCAAGAAUGAAACUCAAAGGAAUUGACGGGGGGCCCGCACAAGCGGAGGAACAUGUGGUUUAAUUCGAUGAUACGCGAGGAACCUUACCUGGGCUUAAAUGUAGAGUGCAUUAUUUGGAAACAGAUAUUUUCUUCGGAACUCUUUACAAGGUGCUGCAUGGUUGUCGUCAGCUCGUGCCGUGAGGUGUCGGGUUAAGUCCCAUAACGAGCGCAACCCCUAUCUUCAGUUGCCAGCACAUAAUGGUGGGGACUCUGAAGNGACUGCCUACGCAAGUAGAGAGGAAGGCGGGGACGACGUCAAAUCAUCAUGGCCUUUA
Molecule: ribosomal RNA, 411 nt
Filed under: uncultured bacterium
Lineage: Bacteria
Description: bacterial SSU rRNA
Rfam family: Bacterial small subunit ribosomal RNA
Source: RNAcentral